AGCUCCUAUACUUGUGAAGUUUGAGAUACCAUAUUUUGCUGUUUCAGGAAUCCAGGUACGCAUCUUUUGGACCUGAAUAUGCCUACCCACAGGGUGUCUACAAUCCUCACAUGGGUCAGCAUUACCUUCAAAUAUAUGGCGUACCAGGCACAGUUAACACAAAUAUUGUCCUAUAUGGACAAAUGGGUCAUCCUCUCUCUGGCAACCAUGGGUAUCCAACCAUUCAGGGUUAUGUGACACCAGGUCGUCAUGUUCUGCAAUAUGGGGGACCCUUCGUCAGUGGAGUAACUACAGACACUAUUGCCACAACUCAAGCACAAUACCUUGCAGGUAACCCUCUCUCUCUCUCUCUGCUUUGAGCUGGGAAAUGAGUGUGAAAAUUAUGCAUACCAGAUUUGGCAUAUAGCCAAAAAAAUUAUCAACCUGGAGUUGCUACUGCAAUUUUGUUAACAAUACAUAUUUGCGUAUGUGCAUACGCCUAAGUGUAUAAAUGUCCAUCCAUGUUACACACAGACAUGCAAUUCUAGAAGCGUUACAGUUUUGAUUGUCAAUACAAUGAUAAUUAAGUGGAGACCAAUUCAUUCUUGCACAGAUCCAGGAUCAUGUGAGAUGUUUAGGAUCAAUAAAGAUGUGUGAUUAUGGCUGAACCGAAGGUAGCUUGAUGAGGCAUCCUUCUGGCUGCUGUAUGGUUGUUUUGGGCCUUCUGACUGUUGUAUGGCUGAUCUAGCAAGUUUCUUUUUUCUUUUUCUUCUUAGAAGCUUCCAACCAACCAUACAACCUUUGGUUAAUACCUUCCUAUAUGAUGUUUAGCUCCUGGCAGGAGCUAUUGCUGAACAAAAGGGGUUAAAAAAAAA
This is a non-coding RNA of Camellia sinensis, 854 nucleotides long. The record is from RefSeq and is a predicted model, not a curated record. NCBI's taxonomy places the organism in Eukaryota, Viridiplantae, Streptophyta, Magnoliopsida, Ericales, Theaceae.